CCUGCUGUUACGUCAGCAGUUUCCUAUCUAGACAUGCGAUCCGAGCAAUCAGGUGGUGUGAAGCUCUAGAGACAAUAUAGCCACAGGAGAACUGUAGGAAGCCUCGUGAGAAGCAACUGAAACUGCUAGCACUAAGCAGUGAGG
This 144-nucleotide non-coding RNA is filed under the name uncultured Legionella sp. RNAcentral also lists the same sequence under 1 other name. Lineage: Bacteria; Pseudomonadati; Pseudomonadota; Gammaproteobacteria; Legionellales; Legionellaceae. The record is from RNAcentral.